This is a long non-coding RNA of Triticum aestivum (bread wheat), 659 nucleotides long. RefSeq lists it as uncharacterized. The transcript has 3 exons. NCBI's taxonomy places the organism in Eukaryota, Viridiplantae, Streptophyta, Magnoliopsida, Poales, Poaceae. The record is from RefSeq and is a predicted model, not a curated record.
CUUGAAGGAGUCAUUUGGAGUUUCUGUAGUAGGAAUAGCCGUGCAAAGUGAACUACGAAGUUGAAGAUCAAGGUAAAAUAAUUCAUCUUAGUAGCAAACAAGGAGGAGAAGACGUGAUUGAAGAAAUUGUGUUUCCAUUUUCGCUGUCCCAUUUUGAGGUUGACGAGGUUCAUAUAGUACUGGCGACGGAUAUUUAUUGAAACUAUUUUGACGCUUAAUUGCAUUCGCAAGCACAUCCAUAUUGGAGCUAAGGUGAAAAAUGACACUGUAAUUUUGUUAAUAUUUUUUGUAUUGAUGUACUAUUGUGAAUAAUGUGCAUGCUGCUGCAAAUAUUAUUAUUUGUAGAUAAAUGAUUGUUAUCGUAUGAUGUGAAAAAAAAUUAUAUAAAGCCGAAAGAAAUUAAAUGUUUUACUCAUAUGAUAUUAAAAUGUUAUUAUCGUACUAUUAUGUUUACUGGUUGUUUGGAUAGCGAGUAAUUCCCAUGCGGUAUGUUAUUUUUUAUAUUGAUGUACUGUCAUGCCGCUGCAAAAAUUAUUAUUUGUAAAUAAAUGAAUUUUAUCGUAUGAUAUGAAAACAUUAUAUCAUGCCGGAAGAAAUUAGAUAUUUUACUCAUAUGAUAUUUAAAUGUUAUUAUCGUAAUAUUAUGUUUAGUGGUUGUU